RNAcentral lists this long non-coding RNA (213 nucleotides) under Elaeis guineensis (African oil palm). RNAcentral's name for it is "long non-coding RNA (EGUI_LNC072034)". The record is from RNAcentral. Lineage: Eukaryota; Viridiplantae; Streptophyta; Magnoliopsida; Arecales; Arecaceae.
UAGGCCUCUUUCAGUUGUUUGAAAUCUGAUUUCAAAAGCUGCCUCUUUCUUCCUUCGUGUUGGUUGAUUAUCCCUCUUCCCUACAGAGAUUGGCGUGCAUACGAAGUAGAGAGUCUAUGCAUUCAGACCUUGCAAGCCAUCAUAUUCGAGUUCUCUUGGAGAUUUGGAUCCUUAUUCCACUAUGAUUUAGAUAAUUUAUGAAGGUUAUAAAUG